RNAcentral lists this small nuclear RNA (190 nucleotides) under Propithecus coquereli (Coquerel's sifaka). Its description in RNAcentral is "U2 spliceosomal RNA (ENSPCOG00000004240.1)". It matches the Rfam family "U2 spliceosomal RNA". Rfam says of the family: U2 is a small nuclear RNA (snRNA) component of the spliceosome (involved in pre-mRNA splicing). Complementary binding between U2 snRNA (in an area lying towards the 5' end but 3' to hairpin I) and the branchpoint sequence (BPS) of the intron results the bulging out of an unpaired adenosine, on the BPS, which initiates a nucleophilic attack at the intronic 5' splice site, thus starting the first of two transesterification reactions that mediate splicing. Lineage: Eukaryota; Metazoa; Chordata; Mammalia; Primates; Indriidae. The record is from Rfam by way of RNAcentral.
AUCACUUCUCGAUCUUUUGGCUAAGAUCAAGUGUAGUACCUGUUCUUAUCAGUUUAAUGUCUAUACAUCCUCUAUCCAAGGACAAUAUAUUAAAUGGAUUUUUGGAGCAGGGAGAUGGAAUAGGAGCUUGCUCUGUCCACUCUGUACAUCGACCUGGUAUUGCAGUACCUCCAGGAAUGGUGCACCAGAA